AAUAGAUACCCGGGUAGUCCACGCCGUAAACGAUGAAUACUAGGUGUAGGGGUUGUCAUGACCUCUGUGCCGCCGCUAACGCAUUAAGUAUUCCGCCUGGGGAGUACGGUCGCAAGAUUAAAACUCAAAGGAAUUGACGGGGGCCCGCACAAGCAGCGGAGCAUGUGGUUUAAUUCGAAGCAACGCGAGGAACCUUACCUAGACUUGACAUCUCCUGCAUUACCCUUAAUCGGGGAAGUUCCUUCGGGGACAGGAAGACAGGUGGUGCAUGGUUGUCGUCAGCUCGUGUCGUGAGAUGUUGGGUUAAGUCCCGCAACGAGCGCAACCCUUAUUGUUAGUUGCUACCAUUUAGUUGAGCACUCUAGCGAGACUGCCCGGGUUAACCGGGAGGAAGGUGGGGAUGACGUCAAAUCAUCAUGCCCCUUAGUGUCUAGGGCUACACACGUGCUACAAUGGCAAGUACAAAGAGACGCAAUACCGCGAGGUGGAGCAAAACUCAAAAACUUGUCUCAGUUCGGAUUGUAGGCUGAAACUCGCCUACA
RNAcentral lists this ribosomal RNA (542 nucleotides) under uncultured bacterium. RNAcentral's name for it is "bacterial SSU rRNA". It matches the Rfam family "Bacterial small subunit ribosomal RNA", at positions 777 to 1320 of the family's 1533-position model. The record is from RNAcentral.